UCAGAAUAGGAGGAAGGUGGAGUUAAAUCCACUCCAAUUAAUAAAAAUUUUGAGAUCUCAGGGUAGGUGGUAAAUAGAGUGAAUGUGAAAGAAGAAAACGGGGUGGCGAUGGAGAAAGAAGAAGAGGAAGGAGAUGAGAGGUUAGGUCAAGAUGGGAGUAAAGAGAGUAUUGAGUACCAAGAGGUCACCUUUCUGGGGGAGAGGGAUGAGGCAACACGGUAGUGGGAUAGUCACAUGUGAGUAUAGCGGGCGCGGUUUGUGAGGCGUUAGAAAAUAGGUAGAGAAUUUUAUU
This 292-nucleotide long non-coding RNA is filed under the name Ananas comosus (pineapple). RNAcentral describes it as "long non-coding RNA (ACOM_LNC008695)". Lineage: Eukaryota; Viridiplantae; Streptophyta; Magnoliopsida; Poales; Bromeliaceae. The record is from RNAcentral.